This 560-nucleotide ribosomal RNA is filed under the name uncultured eukaryote. RNAcentral's name for it is "SSU rRNA". It matches the Rfam family "Eukaryotic small subunit ribosomal RNA", at positions 4 to 565 of the family's 1831-position model. The record is from RNAcentral.
CUGGUUGAUCCUGCCUGAACUGAUGUGUUCAUUUCAAAGAUUAAGCCAUGCAUGUAUAAGUAUAAACGACUUGAUCGUGAAACCGCGAACGGCUCAUUAUAACAGCUAUAAUUUACUUGAUCUUGACAACCUACUUGGAUAACUGUGGUAAUUCUAGAGCUAAUACAUGCACCAAAGCUCCGACCGUAAGGGAAGAGCGCAUUUAUUAGAACAAAACCAAGCGGCUUCGGCCGUCCGAUGUUGACUCAGAAUAACUAAGCUGAUCGCAUGGUCUUGUACCGGCGACGUGUCUUUCAAGUAUCUGCCUUAUCAACUUUCGAUGGUAGUGUAUCUGACUACCAUGGUGAUGACGGGUAACGGAGGAUAAGGGUUCGACUCCGGAGAAGGGGCCUGAGAAAUGGCCACUACGUCUAAGGAUGGCAGCAGGCGCGCAAAUUACCCACUCUCAGAACGAGGAGGUAGUGACGAGAAAUAACGAGACCGUUCUCUUAAGAGGCCGGUCAUCGGAAUGGGUACAAUCUAAACCCUUUAACGAGUAUCUAUGAGAGGGCAAGUCUGGU